This 335-nucleotide long non-coding RNA is filed under the name Helianthus annuus (common sunflower). Its description in RNAcentral is "sRNA HanXRQr2_Chr16g0744121". The record is from RNAcentral. Lineage: Eukaryota; Viridiplantae; Streptophyta; Magnoliopsida; Asterales; Asteraceae.
GUUUUUGUGUGAACUUCAAGCUUUAGUGAUUCUCAUCUUCUAUAACACCAAGAUGAUAGAACUUUGUGAACCAUUGAUUGUUGUUGGUAUAAAUGUGUAUGGCUUCUAGGAAAGGAAAGGGAGUUGCAAGUUCUUCUCAAGGGGAUGAGGUACAACAAAAAAGGAGGAGAUUGGCUCGGAUUGGUGAGUAGGACUCGGAGGAGGAUGCACCGCCAAGGGGACCAAAGCCGGAUUGGGCAUCCGGUUCAUUGUUAGAACAACCCGCGGAAUGGAGAGAGGAUCUUUUUCACGAACAAAUGAACAAGUUAAAACAAAGGGGAGAAGCGUUUAUUUGU